Cricetulus griseus (Chinese hamster) is the source of this 131-nucleotide small nucleolar RNA. Lineage: Eukaryota; Metazoa; Chordata; Mammalia; Rodentia; Cricetidae. The record is from Ensembl.
AGCCUCCAGUUCCCUUCCACAUCAGCUUUGAGGCUAGUCUCUUUAUUUGUAAUGGAGGAGGAGUACACUGAAGCUGGCCUCACAGAGAUGUGUGUAUUUGGUAUACGGCACAGGACCAGAUUCGAACAUGC